GGAGAUGUGGCCGAGUGGUCGAAGGCAGCACCUUGCUAAGGUGUCGUACGGUCUGACCGUACCGUGAGUUCGAAUCUCACCAUCUCCGCCA
This 91-nucleotide transfer RNA is filed under the name Halobacteriovoraceae bacterium. RNAcentral's name for it is "tRNA-Ser". It matches the Rfam family "tRNA". From Rfam's summary of the family: Transfer RNA (tRNA) molecules are approximately 80 nucleotides in length. Lineage: Bacteria; Pseudomonadati; Bdellovibrionota; Bacteriovoracia; Bacteriovoracales; Halobacteriovoraceae. The record is from RNAcentral.